UUGCAUUAAAACUAGCAUAGUUAAUAUAGUUAACAUGCCAAACAAACCAAGAGAUAAUUUCUCUUCAAGAAAACUUAUUUGUGUUUGCUGUGGUGGUAAGAACUUAAAAUGCACUGAACUGGUAACUGGAAACCCUUUACUAAUCUUGAUUCAACUGUAUGCCAACGCUAACUAUAAUCUGACACUUCUUUCCAACCCUAUUGGGUUAUGUCCAAGCUGCAAGAUUUAUUUGUACUCAGCUAAAAAUGGAGAAACUUUAUCACUUGUUACUUUAGAGAGGUGAGACAGUGUCAACAUGUGAUUGCAUGCUCUGUAUCAUGUCAAGAGAUAAAUCUAAAUCUAUAAACCUUCAGGAUGUAUUAAACAUGUACAUUAAUGACCCUGAAGUACCAAAGGAGGUUAUAG
This is a non-coding RNA of Hydra vulgaris (swiftwater hydra), 405 nucleotides long. NCBI's taxonomy places the organism in Eukaryota, Metazoa, Cnidaria, Hydrozoa, Anthoathecata, Hydridae. The record is from RefSeq and is a predicted model, not a curated record.